CGGAGCAGGACGCGCAGGAGCCGUGACACACUGGGCUUUAUUUUCAUAACAGAACGGUGUAAAAUACCAGCCGUACCCUCUGAAAGUCACACUGUGGGUUUGGGCAACGAGUAGCUUUGCAGAUGACGACAUCGCCGUGGCAGCCAGCCAGGGGCAAUUACGCAGAUGUUUUUACAGCGUCGUGGGUUUGAGGACAGAUUCGGAUCGCUGCUGCGUCUCUGCUGUGCCAGAUGACAGGAGGAGACCGGAGCACCUGGAGGAAACCCACAUGGACACGGGAGACAGGGAGAACAUGCCAAACUGUACACAGAAAGGACCCAGGCUGCCCGACUUGUUAACAGAACCCAGGACCGUUUUGCUGUGGCACACACAUUAACAA
Trichomycterus rosablanca is the source of this 379-nucleotide long non-coding RNA. RefSeq lists it as uncharacterized. The transcript has 4 exons. NCBI's taxonomy places the organism in Eukaryota, Metazoa, Chordata, Actinopteri, Siluriformes, Trichomycteridae. The record is from RefSeq and is a predicted model, not a curated record.